This is a non-coding RNA of Balaenoptera ricei (Rice's whale), 74 nucleotides long. The record is from the annotation of a RefSeq genome assembly. NCBI's taxonomy places the organism in Eukaryota, Metazoa, Chordata, Mammalia, Artiodactyla, Balaenopteridae.
UCCCUGGUGGUCCAGUGGUUAAGACUCUGCACUUCUACUGCAGGUGGGCACGGGUUCGAUCCCUGGUCGGGGAA